RNAcentral lists this long non-coding RNA (547 nucleotides) under Linum usitatissimum (flax). RNAcentral describes it as "long non-coding RNA (LUSI_LNC003634)". Lineage: Eukaryota; Viridiplantae; Streptophyta; Magnoliopsida; Malpighiales; Linaceae. The record is from RNAcentral.
AGGAAUUGUACGGGCGAAAUCCACUUUCGAGGAGAUCAAUUGAUAGUAGGUUAUUUAUAUACAAUAUGGAGGAAUUGUACGGGCGAAAUCCACUUUCGAGGAGAUCAAUUGAUAGUAGUUUAUUUAUACUCAAAUUACACAUUCCAAGCAUCAUCUUACAUCAUGAACCCCAUUUCUCAGUCAUGAAAUCUCAACAACAAAAAUCAAAACUUACAAGCAGCUGCCAAUCCGCAGCUAAUAAGGACUUGCUGGGAGCAUUUCAGUUUCAAAUGGGAAGAAGCUUUCAUGAAACCUCUUCAUUUUUUUGCUAGAGCUUGUUUCAGUCUAGUUAACUUAAACUUACGAUUGUCAAGUGGCAACCUUUUCGAGAUGAGGUCCUCGACCGGCCUCCUCAACAGCCAGCAGCCUUCAGAAAGUUGUCGUACGGACUAGAAGCUGGUAACUGGAAAUACUGGUGCUGCUGGUACUCCGCUCCGCACUGCAUUGUCCCGUUUGCAUUCGGAAGGUUUGCAAAGAAGUUUUCGUCCAGGAAUGGGUUUCCGCCCUG